This 191-nucleotide non-coding RNA is filed under the name Halobacteriovoraceae bacterium. RNAcentral describes it as "6S RNA". It matches the Rfam family "6S / SsrS RNA". Rfam says of the family: E. coli 6S RNA was the first non coding RNA to be sequenced, but its function was unknown until recently. The record is from RNAcentral. Lineage: Bacteria; Pseudomonadati; Bdellovibrionota; Bacteriovoracia; Bacteriovoracales; Halobacteriovoraceae.
UAUGGGCUUGGGCUAAACUGCAAUACUGAGUUUCGCCCUACAAAAUUUUUACCGGGAGAUGUCCCUGGUCACGGUGUGCAAGCCUAACAAGUCCUAAAUGGGACUUGCUAAAUGGGAAGCCUAAAGUGAUUACUAAUUUCGCCCACCUAUUUAAUAGGGGCGCGAAACCAACAGCAGAUCCAGGCCCUUUU